CAGGACGAACGCUGGCGGCGUGCCUAAUACAUGCAAGUCGAGCGGACCGACGGGAGCUUGCUCCCUUAGGUCAGCGGCGGACGGGUGAGUAACACGUGGGUAACCUGCCUGUAAGACUGGGAUAACUCCGGGAAACCGGGGCUAAUACCGGAUGCUUGAUUGAACCGCAUGGUUCAAUCAUAAAAGGCGGCUUCGGCUGCCGUUUACAGAUGGACCCGCGGCGCAUUAGCUAGUUGGUGAGGUAACGGCUCACCAAGGCGACGAUGCGUAGCCGACCUGAGAGGGUGAUCGGCCACACUGGGACUGAGACACGGCCCAGACUCCUACGGGAGGCAGCAGUAGGGAAUCUUCCGCAAUGGACGAAAGUCUGACGGAGCAACGCCGCGUGAGUGAUGAAGGUUUUCGGAUCGUAAAGCUCUGUUGUUAGGGAAGAACAAGUACCGUUCGAAUAGGGCGGUACCUUGACGGUACCUAACCAGAAAGCCACGGCUAACUACGUGCCAGCAGCCGCGGUAAUACGUAGGUGGCAAGCGUUGUCCGGAAUUAUUGGGCGUAAAGCGCGCGCAGGCGGUUUCUUAAGUCUGAUGUGAAAGCCCCCGGCUCAACCGGGGAGGGUCAUUGGAAACUGGGGAACUUGAGUGCAGAAGAGGAGAGUGGAAUUCCACGUGUAGCGGUGAAAUGCGUAGAGAUGUGGAGGAACACCAGUGGCGAAGGCGACUCUCUGGUCUGUAACUGACGCUGAGGCGCGAAAGCGUGGGGAGCGAACAGGAUUAGAUACCCUGGUAGUCCACGCCGUAAACGAUGAGUGCUAAGUGUUAGAGGGUUUCCGCCCUUUAAUGGUGCAGCAAACGCAUUAUACACUCCCCCCGGGGAGAGCAGGGUCAACACUAGUGAAUCUCAGAGGAGUUGACGGGCCCCCGCACAGGCGGAUCAAGCGUGUGGUUUAAUUCGAACCAACGCAAAGAACCUUACCAGGUCUUGACCUCCUCUGACAUCCCUAGAGAUUGGGCUUCCCCUUCGGGGGCAGAGUGACAGGUGGUGCAUGGUUGUCGUCAGCUCGUGUCGUGAGAUGUUGGGUUAAGUCCCGCAACGAGCGCAACCCUUGAUCUUAGUUGCCAGCAUUCAGUUGGGCACUCUAAGGUGACUGCCGGUGACAAACCGGAGGAAGGUGGGGAUGACGUCAAAUCAUCAUGCCCCUUAUGACCUGGGCUACACACGUGCUACAAUGG
Molecule: ribosomal RNA, 1229 nt
Filed under: Bacillus sp. 2BSG-10NA-3
Lineage: Bacteria; Bacillati; Bacillota; Bacilli; Caryophanales; Bacillaceae
Description: bacterial SSU rRNA
Rfam family: Bacterial small subunit ribosomal RNA
Source: RNAcentral